AUUGAACGCUGGCGGAAUGCUUUACACAUGCAAGUCGAGCGGCAGCGCGGGGCAACCUGGCGGCGAGCGGCGAGCGGGUGAGUAUACAUCGGAACGUACCCUGUCGUGGGGGAUAACGAGUCGAAAGAUUCGCUAAUACCGCAUACGACCUGAGGGUGAAAGCGGGGGAUCGCAAGACCUCGCGCGACAGGAGCGGCCGAUGGCGGAUUAGGUAUUUGGGGAGGUGAAGGCUCACCAAGGCGACGAUCCGUAGCGGGUCUGAGAGGACGACCCGCCACACUGGAACUGAGACACGGUCCAGACUCCUACGGGAGGCAGCAGUGGGGAAUUUUGGACAAUGGGGGCAACCCUGAUCCAGCCAUUCCGCGUGAGUGAAGAAGGCCUUCGGGUUGUAAAGCUCUUUCGGCAGGAACGAAACGGUGGUCCCUAAUAUGGACUGCUAAUGACGGUACCAGAAGAAGAAGCACCGGCUAACUACGUGCCAGCCGCCGCCGUAA
Molecule: ribosomal RNA, 497 nt
Filed under: uncultured bacterium
Lineage: Bacteria
Description: partial 16S ribosomal RNA
Rfam family: Bacterial small subunit ribosomal RNA
Source: RNAcentral